Long non-coding RNA from Ctenopharyngodon idella (grass carp), 1464 nucleotides. RefSeq lists it as uncharacterized. NCBI's taxonomy places the organism in Eukaryota, Metazoa, Chordata, Actinopteri, Cypriniformes, Xenocyprididae. The transcript is spliced from 3 exons. The record is from RefSeq and is a predicted model, not a curated record.
GGGAUUAUGGGACAAAACAGUUCCUCAAUGUCUAUGGUGGUUAUGGCCCUGCUGUAAACUUAUUUCCUUUCAGUCCAAAAAAAGAAUGUUUCCUAAAAUAAAAUUAAUUGAACUGGGUUAACUAGAAACAUCACUUUUACCUAAACUCUUGCAGAUUAACAAAAGGCACACAUGCAUGUGCUAAAAUACUUAAAAAGAUCAUCACUGCAUCAGCAACUAUACCAUUACUGCCUUUAAAUAAAGCAGCACAGUGUUUCUCUGCUCACCCUGGACUGAAGCACAAGCUCUACUCUUCAGCACAACUUCACAAAUCUCAGACAACAGAAUAUUAAACACUAACAGAUCUCUAGCAAAAACACACUCAACAUUUACUCUCCUGAUCAUUGUUAAUCAAAGCAAAGAAGAGCAAGAAAUUACCUUAGCAAUAUUUAUAAGCAUUAAAUCUUGAGAUCUGAGAAUCUGCUAUAUGAUGAUACCAUCAGUCAAUAUCCCAGAAUAUUCCUUGGCUUCCUUUUCCGUUGCAAAUGUGCCUUAUAGAUGAACAGUUACAGAAGCUUGUAUGCUCAGGUGAUAUGGAGUGUGUGAACACCAUUGGCUCCUACAAUUGCACGUGUCGUGAAGGAUAUCGUGAGACAAGAACAGACUCAGGAUGUGCAGAUAUCAAUGAGUGUAAAGAUCCAGAUGUUUGCGGCACAAACGCCGAAUGCGUCAAUCAUCCAGGCGGAUACAGCUGCAGAUGUCACCAGGGUUACAGUAACUACGGCAAUGACCAGUCGAAAUGCAUCAGCGAGCAGAUGGUGCAGUUCUGUCAAUGAGAGUCUCAUUUGUGGAAGACGACGUCUGGCGUCCAUUAUCAGACGGACAGAGAAAUCCUUCACUUUUUCUGGAGAAAUGAUGAUCUGUGAAUCUGAUUUAUAUCAGGCCUGUUUCUUAUUUCCUCCUCUGAAAUACAAUAAAGUCAACAACAAAUGAGAAGUUUUGUUUUCUAGUUGUUCAUGUAAAUAGCAGGUGCUGAACUCACUCAUUUCAUUUCAAAUGUGCUUUAUUGGCAUGUUAGUGUGUGUUGCCAAUGCAUUUGCAAUGAAUCUCGAACAGAUGAGGAGAAGUUAUGAAAUGACUAAAUAAAAAGAAACAAACAUGUUUCUGUCUGUAAUGCUAAACCAACAGAUGCGCUUUGGAGGAGGAUUCGGUUCAGAACUACAAACAUGAAUAAAAAGUGUUUAAAAACUACAAACAUGGCAGAUGAGCACGUCCAACGGUUAAGUAGAGAGGAUUAGAUUAAGGGGUUUAAAUUAAAAAAUAUUGAUUUAAUGUUAUCCGUGUUAUGUUUCAUCUGCAUCAACAAUGUGGACUUUUAUAAAGAUCUGUUUGGCCAUUAACCUUUAAACGCAUCAUUAUUCUUAUCAUGAAAAACCCACGACUGGCAGAUCAACGUGCGACUUCUUUUCUCUCCAGUAUGGUUCA